UACGUAGGGGGCAAGCGUUGUCCGGAAUCAUUGGGCGUAAAGAGCGCGUAGGCGGCCCGGUAAGUCCGCUGUGAAAGUCAAAGGCUCAACCUUUGAAUGUCAGCGGAUACUGCCGGGCUAGAGUCCGGAAGAGGCGAGUGGAACUCCUGGUGUAGCGGUGGAAUGCGCAGAUAUCAGGAAGAACACCAACGGCGAGGGCAGCUCGCUGGGACGGAACUGACGCUAAGGCGCGAAAGCGUGGGGAGCAAACAGG
Molecule: ribosomal RNA, 253 nt
Filed under: uncultured bacterium
Lineage: Bacteria
Description: partial 16S ribosomal RNA
Rfam family: Bacterial small subunit ribosomal RNA
Source: RNAcentral